RNAcentral lists this ribosomal RNA (253 nucleotides) under uncultured bacterium. RNAcentral describes it as "partial 16S ribosomal RNA". It matches the Rfam family "Bacterial small subunit ribosomal RNA", at positions 524 to 776 of the family's 1533-position model. The record is from RNAcentral.
UACGGAGGGCGCAAGCGUUGUUCGGAAUCACUGGGCGUAAAGCGCGUGUAGGCGGCCGGGCAAGUCGGAUGUGAAAUCCCGAGGCUCAACCUCGGAACUGCAUUCGAAACUGCCCGGCUCGAGUCCCGGAGAGGAUGGCGGAAUUCCCGGUGUAGGGGUGAAAUCCGUAGAUAUCGGGAGGAACACCAGUGGCGAAGGCGAAUCUCUGGACAGUUACUGACACUGAGGCACGAAGGCCAGGGGAGCAAACAGG